Molecule: ribosomal RNA, 497 nt
Filed under: uncultured bacterium
Lineage: Bacteria
Description: partial 16S ribosomal RNA
Rfam family: Bacterial small subunit ribosomal RNA
Source: RNAcentral
GAUGAACGCUGGCGGCGUGCCUAAUACAUGCAAGUCGAGCGAACAGACGAGGAGCUUGCUCCUCUGACGUUAGCGGCGGACGGGUGAGUAACACGUGGAUAACCUACCUAUAAGACUGGGAUAACUUCGGGAAACCGGAGCUAAUACCGGAUAAUAUAUUGAACCGCAUGGUUCAAUAGUGAAAGACGGUUUUGCUGUCACUUAUAGAUGGAUCCGCGCCGCAUUAGCUAGUUGGUAAGGUAACGGCUUACCAAGGCAACGAUGCGUAGCCGACCUGAGAGGGUGAUCGGCCACACUGGAACUGAGACACGGUCCAGACUCCUACGGGAGGCAGCAGUAGGGAAUCUUCCGCAAUGGGCGAAAGCCUGACGGAGCAACGCCGCGUGAGUGAUGAAGGUCUUCGGAUCGUAAAACUCUGUUAUUGGGGAAGAACAAAUGUGUAAGUAACUAUGCACGCCUUGACGGUACCUAAUCAGAAAGCCACGGCUAACUACGUG